RNAcentral lists this long non-coding RNA (1012 nucleotides) under Arabidopsis thaliana (thale cress). RNAcentral's name for it is "long non-coding RNA (ATHA_LNC000136)". The record is from RNAcentral. Lineage: Eukaryota; Viridiplantae; Streptophyta; Magnoliopsida; Brassicales; Brassicaceae.
CUGUAGACAUAUGGUGGUGGAGGAGAUUUGUAGUCAACCUUAGGGGAAGGUGAGUAGUAUGGUGGUGGAGGAGAUUUGUAGUCAACCUUAGGGGAAGGUGAGUAGUAUGGUGGUGGUGGUGAACUAUAGACGUAUGGUGGUGGUGGAGAUUUGUAAUCUACCUUAGGGGCAGGUGAGUAGUAUGGUGGUGGGGGUGAGCUGUAGACAUACGGUGGUGGGGGAGAUUUGUAGUCUACCUUCGGGGAAGGUGAGUAGUAUGGUGGUGGUGGUGAGCUAUAGACGUACGGUGGUGGAGGAGAUUUGUAGUCUACUUUAGGGGAAGGUGAGUAGUAUGGUGGUGGUGGUGAGCUGUAGACGUACGGUGGUGGGGGAGAUUUGUAGUCUACCUUAGGGGAAGGUGAGUAGUAUGGUGGUGGUGGUGAGCUGUAGACGUACGGUGGUGGGGGAGACUUGUAAACUACUUUAGGAGAAGGAGAGUAGUAUGGUGGUGGUGGUGAGCUGUAGACGUACGGUGGUGGGGGAGACUUGUAGACUACCUUAGGAGAAGGAGAGUAGUAUGGUGGUGGUGGAGAACUGUAGACAUACGGUGGUGGAGGAGACUUGUAGACUACCUUAGGAGAAGGAGAAUAAUAUGGUGGUGGUGGAGAACUGUAAACGUAUGGUGGUGGGGGAGACUUGUAGACUACCUUAGGAGAAGGAGAGUAGUAUGGUGGUGGUGGAGAACUGUAGACAUACGGUGGUGGGGGAGACUUGUAGACUACCUUAGGAGAAGGAGAAUAGUAUGGAGGUGGUGGAGAACUGUAAACAUACGGUGGUGGGGGAGACUUGUAGACUACCUUAGGAGAAGGAGAGUAGUAUGGUGGUGGUGGAGAACUAUAGACAUACGGUGGUGGGGGAGACUUGUAGUGUACCUUAGGGGAAGGAGAGUAAUAUGGUGGUGGUGGAGAACUGUAGACAUACGGUGGUGGGGGAGACUUGUAGUGUACCUUAGGAGAAGGAGAGUGAUAUGGUG